AAUGGACCAAUUCCUCUUUAGA
RNAcentral lists this transfer RNA (22 nucleotides) under Isabellaria saxicola aperta. RNAcentral's name for it is "partial tRNA-Met". Lineage: Eukaryota; Metazoa; Mollusca; Gastropoda; Stylommatophora; Clausiliidae. The record is from RNAcentral.